Molecule: ribosomal RNA, 253 nt
Filed under: uncultured bacterium
Lineage: Bacteria
Description: partial 16S ribosomal RNA
Rfam family: Bacterial small subunit ribosomal RNA
Source: RNAcentral
UACAGAGGGUGCGAGCGUUGUCCGGAAUCACUGGGCGUAAAGGGCGCGUAGGUGGCGACCCAAGUCCAUGGUGAAAGCUCGAUGCUCAACAUCGAGUCGGCCACGGAUACUGGGUUGCUGGAGCACUGUAGAGGCAGAUGGAAUUCCGGGUGUAGCGGUGGAAUGCGUAGAGAUCCGGAAGAACACCGGUGGCGAAGGCGGUCUGCUGGGCAGUAGCUGACACUGAGGCGCGACAGCGUGGGGAGCAAACAGG